Molecule: ribosomal RNA, 253 nt
Filed under: uncultured bacterium
Lineage: Bacteria
Description: partial 16S ribosomal RNA
Rfam family: Bacterial small subunit ribosomal RNA
Source: RNAcentral
UACGUAGGGUGCAAGCGUUGUCCGGAAUUAUUGGGCGUAAAGAGCGCGUAGGCGGAAGGUGAAGCGUGGCCUGAAAGCCCCCGGCUCAACCGGGGAGGGCGGCUGCGAACUGGCCUUCUUGAGGGCGAUAGAGGGGGGCGGAAUUCCUGGUGUAGCGGUGAAAUGCGUAGAGAUCAGGAGGAACACCCGUGGCGAAGGCGGCCCCCUGGGUCGGCCCUGACGCUGAGGCGCGAAAGCGUGGGGAGCGAACGGG